This is a long non-coding RNA of Melanotaenia boesemani (Boeseman's rainbowfish), 2228 nucleotides long. RefSeq lists it as uncharacterized. The transcript is spliced from 5 exons. Lineage: Eukaryota; Metazoa; Chordata; Actinopteri; Atheriniformes; Melanotaeniidae. The record is from RefSeq and is a predicted model, not a curated record.
AAGGCCCAACAGCCCACCCAGGAGCCAAUCCCAUACCGACACACAUGUAUACUUCAGACUAUUAUCACUACCUACUUCCAUCAUCAGAUAGAUACCACAUCUUAUUUAGAAUCCUUGACCCUGGAAACCUUUGGACACCAAGAUGAAGCAAAUGGCUUUUGAAGUUAUUGAAGAAAUUCACACUUUUUCUAAUGGCUGUAAUCUGGUUUAGCUGUUAGUGUAUUUAACAACUACCAUGAUGUCAUCAUGUCUUUUUUUGUUAAUUUGUUUGUUUUUUGCCAAUGAUUCUGGGCAUCAUCCCGAUCUCCCCACAGUAAAGAAUCCUUAAAAAAAAAUCCUGGAUCCAGAUGAUGAUCUAAAUCACCCCCAGAUCGCUUGUUCCUUAUUCCAUUUCUGAUGUUUUCUGAAAAAUUAAACAAAAUGUGUCCAUAACAUUUUGAGUUAUGUUGCUAACAGACAAACCAACGCCACCAAAAACAUAACCUCCACCUACAAAGUAUUGGUAGCUAUAUAAUAAAUGGAAAUAAUCAGGAUGUUUAAUUUAUUUCUGUCUUGUCAUCUUGUUUUUUUUUUAAAACACAAUCAAGGUCCAGUCUGUCAUUGCUGUAAUUCGGGAGCUGCAGCAGUGGAAAAGCUGUACAUUUCUUUAUCUACUGGAUCUGAGUAUAGCUCAGUGACAAAUGAAACGGUCAAAUUAUAUGAUUGACAUCAUUUUCAAAUCUGUCACAUGCUGCAAACACAAUGCAGUAGUAAACAAAGCCAUGAUCCAAAAGGCUCCACUUAUUGAUUUUUGUCAUGUUCUUUGAUGAAUCUUACACAUUGUGUGUCCGUUAGGUGAUUUUGCUGCUUGUAAACAUUAUGAUGUUUUUAUCUUCCAGGGCCAGCAGUCAUCAAAGUGUUCAUAGAAGAAGGCAGUGAUGUAGGUCUGCCCUGCUCUCUCAGCACCAAGAACAAUACAGAUACUGUUUGACUGGAAGAAGGAUCAUCAGUAUGAAGUGUUCCUGUACGAUGCUGGCCUUCAUUAUAAUAACGGCUGUUCAGGUCAAAAUGAACAGUUUAAAGAUAUAACAGAUAUAUAACAGAAGAAAGUAUCCCAAGGGGAGUCCUUAUUCUGAUUACAUCACUGGUUAUUACACCUCACCUGUAUGUGUUGUUGCUAAUAAUUGGUUCAGAGAUGGCUUAAGGUCUAUAGGUCUCCUAGAUGCUCUUCAGAGAUACCCUCUACAGUUGAAGUGCCUUUUCGUAAAAGGUGAAACAAGUUUAACAGCAUCUGAAGUGGAGAAUCUCUUCCAGAUCAUUCACUCUGAAAGAGGAAGCAAUGCAUUUCAAGGAGAGUGCCAAACCCUGGCUUUCUGGAAAGACUAUCUUCAAGAUGCUGAAUGUAAAAGUGAAGUCACUCUGGAGGAUUUUCUUGUGUUCGUUACUGGAUGUGACAACAUUCCACCCCUGGGUUUCUCACCAAGGCCAAGCUUUGAUUCAUGCAGUGUACACUGCAUUCAAAUCCCACAUGGAUUUUGCCAGACGCAAUUCCCCAGGAUUCGGGAGAGCCUGAGAGGUCAUUUAUAGAGGGUUUGAGGAGAUGAGUUAAGAUGAGGAGGUUAAUGUGGGAGCUGUUCCUGCAACCCCAAUAACCAACCUUUUAUUCAUAUUGUUUGUUUUGUCUCUCACUGUUUACAUGAUGUGGGUCCAUGACAAGAACACACAGGUAAGAAAAGGUGCUAAAUCACUGCCUGUAACUGCUAUUAUUUCAUUUUGUUAUUCUCUAAAACAGAAAGCUCUUUUAAUUUACUGCAAUAAAAACACAAAAAAAUAUACAUAAAACAUUUUGGUUACAUUUGAAAAUUUGUUUAAAGUCAUGGUUUUGUGUUACAGAUUUAAGGAUGUGAACUUGAUGAAUACUUUUUGUUGAUAAAUGUGAGGCACAUUUUGCAUUGCAGUCAAACACUCCUCCAACUUGAAACAGUUGUUCAUUUUUCUUUGAUGACAUUUGUAAUGUGACCCAUAGCAGCAUUUAAUUAGAGUUAAUAUGUAAAAAAUCAUUGUUUCGUUUGGGUUGUGCCAUUUUAUGGUUUGUUUAGUUUUAGGCACAAAAAAUAUUUUGGUUACAAUUUGAAAUUUUGGUUUUCUCAGAACUGGUAUAACUGGAGUAGCUGUAGAUGCAAAUGCUCUUUCUAUCUGACAUGAAUAUAUUUACAGAACAGUAACAAUUACUUGCAAACUUAAGUAUU